ACUUUCUUCGAGCUAUGGUUCUUAUAUUGUUUGUAAUCUGUUUUUGUUUUUUUGUUUAUUACAAUAGAAAUCGAGACAUUCAUGCUAUUAGUUUGCAGGUUGGAUCUUGUUGCUAUUAGUUUGUUGGAUCUCGUUUCUUUUUGGGGUGAAGACAACUUUAAUUCACAAAGCCAAUCUUCACAAGCUUAUGGCGGUUAGUCGACCUCCAAAUAUGAGUUUUUAAUUGGUUUAUUAUGUGUCUUAUUUGUGGGUUUCAUUGUUUCUGACUUUAAGUUCUUGAUUGGUUUAUUACAUGACUAUUUAAUCUUGUUAAUGUGAAUGUCAAUGUGUUUUUUUGGUGUUUGAGUUAUUCUUAUGGGUUUGUUAUGUUUUGCUCAUGGGUAAGAUACUAUAAUGGUCGAAAAGUCAUGAGUUCAUCUUAACAGGUAUGUGAAAACAAUAUAUAGUUGAGGGUUUAAUGAGGGAUUAAGAGAGUUUAACAUUUCUCAUUAAGAGAAUUUGGUUUCUCUAUGAGAUCCAUUUUUUGUUUGUUUUGUGUAAUGAAAGGGACAGAGACACCAAUUGUGUUCUUCUGUUUAGAGAUUUAUGUUUUCAGACAAAAUUUUUGGUUUGGCCCAUUGAAGAACUAGCUUUAAAUCACGAGCCAACUUUUUUAUUCAUCAAUAUGUCAAAUCAAUCCUUUAAUCCAAUUUUUUUUUCGAGUCAUCUGCAAUUUUGCAUUAUCAUCUUUUGAUAUUGACUGAUGAAUAAAGAAGUUUAUAUAAUUUGAUCAUUAUAGUAACAUUCACUACAUCAAAUCUUUUACAAACCUUUUAAACAUGAACAUUCAGUAUAGAAUUGUCAUUUCUGUUCAUGAACAAGAGUUUUCCAAAUAUGAGUUUUUUAUCGGUUUACUAUGCGUCUUAACAGGUAUGUGAAAACAAUAUAUAGUUAAAAGUUUAAUGAGGGAUUAAGAGAGUUUAACGUUUCUCAUUAUUUUUUUGCUUUCAUCUCACUUUACUAAAGAGCUGAUCUUGGUUAUGAGAGAGGUACUUGGAAUUUUGUGCGGUAUGUGGCUGCAGCUUAAGGAGAAAUAAAGAUGAUUAUUUGCCCUUGCAUUGACUGUUGCAACGUGGUACCGGUAAUGGAGUGAAGUCAAUUGCUUAUUCUGAAUUGAUGGAUGAAGUAUGUUUAUUGCUUUUAAGUUUAGCCGGCUAUGUUUGAGAACUUGAUCUGUUUAAGACAUGACUUUGUGUUUUGUUUAUGACUUGGUUUGAUGGUUACAUGUUCUCUUUUAGAGUUCAUGAUUUUAAUCAGUUCACUUUGUAUGCUUUGGAUUUUUAAUGGAAAAGCAUUGAUAUUUUAUGAAUUUUUGUUUCUUGUCAAAGUAUCACAA
This is a long non-coding RNA of Arabidopsis lyrata subsp. lyrata, 1375 nucleotides long. RefSeq lists it as uncharacterized. The transcript is spliced from 2 exons. Lineage: Eukaryota; Viridiplantae; Streptophyta; Magnoliopsida; Brassicales; Brassicaceae. The record is from RefSeq and is a predicted model, not a curated record.